AUUGAACGCUGGCGGCAUGCCUUACACAUGCAAGUCGAACGGCAGCACGGGAGCAAUCCUGGUGGCGAGUGGCGAACGGGUGAGUAAUAUAUCGGAACGUGUCCAGUCGUGGGGAUAACGUAGCGAAAGCUACGCUAAUACCGCAUACGAUCUAUGGAUGAAAGCGGGGGAUCGCAAGACCUCGCGCGAUUGGAGCGGCCGAUAUCAGAUUAGGUAGUUGGUGAGGUAAAGGCUCACCAAGCCGACGAUCUGUAGCUGGUCUGAGAGGACGACCAGCCACACUGGGACUGAGACACGGCCCAGACUCCUACGGGAGGCAGCAGUGGGGAAUUUUUGGGACAAUGGGCGCAAGCCUGAUCCAGCAAUGCCGCGUGCAGGAUGAAGGCC
This 387-nucleotide ribosomal RNA is filed under the name uncultured bacterium. Its description in RNAcentral is "bacterial SSU rRNA". It matches the Rfam family "Bacterial small subunit ribosomal RNA", at positions 30 to 416 of the family's 1533-position model. The record is from RNAcentral.